UAAUUAACUUGAAAAUGGAAAUCAUCCUAUUAUCUUCAGCAUAACUUCACUAAUCUCUUUCCUUCUAUGCUUAUUUUUUUUCAUCUUCAAAUUCUCACAAGCUUUUCAUUUACUGAAACAUCAGUUUUUCCCAAAACUUCAACCAGCAGUGCCUUUAUGCUCUCUCUCCACUAUUAGCCUGUUGGGUUUAUCGAAUGCCCUUGGUCAAGCCCACUCCUACCUUGCUUCUGAAUAUAAGUAAUUCCAAUUUCCCCUCACAAGUUCCUGGAUUAUUGAUGGUAGGAGGAGGAGUAAGAAACUGAAGAGGAGAAGAAUCACUUACCUGUUAACCAAGUGUGUUGCAGUCAUAUUUAAAAUACAGUAAAAAGUAAUAAUUAUGAAGAAAAUGCAAAACACUAAAAGAUGAAAAAUUAGGGGUCUUAGUUAAAAGACAAAUAACCCAGAAAAUCAGGUCCAUCUCCCCUUGGCAAAAUGAGGAAAUAAUGGAAUACAUACUAAGGUUAUCUUAUUUAAAAGCAGGAAGGGUAAAAUCAUGUGGACAGCCAAGAAUCAACCAAAUUCCAAUGCAAAGUUGAUUUAUCAUAAUCUCUUUCCAUUCCUUCCUGCCAAACCAACCCUGGCUAACCAUGUAUGUUUUUUCUUGUCUGUAUGUUUGUUGUAUUUUUUUGCUGAAAACUGUAUCUUGUUAUCUGCUAAAGAUUAUGGUUGUCAACCUCCUUUUUUUUCAACUUUUGCAAUUUCUAAUAGCAACUAAGAGGAAUUUACUGGUGUUUGUUUUCAGUUUCUAAAAACAACAACAACAACAACAAAGCCCUCUGACUUGCCAAGCUUGAAUCAAAUCGACAUCUCAUGGUAUUGCAACAGUGGUAAGAGGAGAAGAAAUCUAGAAAAUUAGGCACUCUUGUGCAAACUCAGGAAUAGGAUGAAGAGAGACCGAUGUAGGGAGAGUAUUUCUGCCAUUU
This 962-nucleotide long non-coding RNA is filed under the name Marmota monax (woodchuck). Lineage: Eukaryota; Metazoa; Chordata; Mammalia; Rodentia; Sciuridae. The record is from RNAcentral.